RNAcentral lists this ribosomal RNA (240 nucleotides) under uncultured bacterium. RNAcentral's name for it is "partial 16S ribosomal RNA". It matches the Rfam family "Bacterial small subunit ribosomal RNA", at positions 94 to 334 of the family's 1533-position model. The record is from RNAcentral.
AGCGGCGGACGGGUGAGUAACGCGUGGGUAACCUGCCUCAUACAGGGGGAUAACAGUUAGAAAUGACUGCUAAUACCGCAUAAGACCACAGCACCGCAUGGUGCGGGGGUAAAAACUCCGGUGGUAUGAGAUGGACCCGCGUCUGAUUAGCUGGUUGGUAAGGUAACGGCUUACCAAGGCGACGAUCAGUAGCCGACCUGAGAGGGUGACCGGCCACAUUGGGACUGAGACACGGCCCAA